Molecule: ribosomal RNA, 179 nt
Filed under: Pseudonectria buxi
Lineage: Eukaryota; Fungi; Ascomycota; Sordariomycetes; Hypocreales; Nectriaceae
Description: partial 28S ribosomal RNA
Rfam family: Eukaryotic large subunit ribosomal RNA
Source: RNAcentral
UUGACCUCGGAUCAGGUAGGACUACCCGCUGAACUUAAGCAUAUCAAUAAGCGGAGGAAAAGAAACCAACAGGGAUUGCCCCAGUAACGGCGAGUGAAGCGGCAACAGCUCAAAUUUGAAAUCUGGCCUUCGGGUCCGAGUUGUAAUUUGUAGAGGAUGCUUUUGGCGCGGUGCCUUCC